ACUACUUAUUGUGCGAAGUUUCGUUUUCCACUUUGAAAUUAAUAAAAUCAAAUACUAGAAAUAAAAUUAGCGAUCGGCACCUUGAAGUUGGUUCAAAACCAUGAAAAUAUUGAUUUUUAGUGUUUUGAUAUAGCCGUUUAGGACUUGCGAUUUUUCCUUUGGUUACUUAUUGUAUCCCGCUUACUGCCUUUUUUAAGCAGAAAGGGUUUGCCGGAAAUUUUUCGCAAGUAAUUGCUCGGAUAUUAGUUGCUCCCUGCGUUUGUUAAAUGGUUAUGUUUGAAUACACAAAGUUUUCAACAAUCACGCCGUCAGCAACUCCAUCGUGUUCCAAUAUAAAAUUAUGAAGUAACUAGAAAAGAGAAUGGAAACGUAAUAAGGCCAUUUGCUGUUUUUCGCUCCAGUGUGUUAACGGACUACACUGCUG
Long non-coding RNA from Bactrocera dorsalis (oriental fruit fly), 424 nucleotides. RefSeq lists it as uncharacterized. The record is from RefSeq and is a predicted model, not a curated record. The transcript is spliced from 3 exons. NCBI's taxonomy places the organism in Eukaryota, Metazoa, Arthropoda, Insecta, Diptera, Tephritidae.